Molecule: long non-coding RNA, 797 nt
Organism: Astyanax mexicanus (Mexican tetra)
Lineage: Eukaryota; Metazoa; Chordata; Actinopteri; Characiformes; Acestrorhamphidae
Exons: 3
Source: RefSeq, a predicted model, not a curated record
GCGGGGAGUGUGUGGAGAUGUGUUAGCUAGCGAACGUAUUCGAGGCUAUUUGGACUUUCUCAAAACUAAGCAGCUUUAGAGAACGUUUGAGGAAGUUUUAAAGCCGUAUUCCGCGGCUCCGGUGCGGGAGUAUUUUGGGAGUAUUUUGGCUUUAAGCCAAAUUAGCGAGGAGAACCAUCAACGCGAAUCAGCCGGUGUAGGCUGGGCUUUCUAUCGAUGGGAAAGUCAACAGGUAUGAGUGAUAGGCAGCAUUCGCUCCGUUUCCCUGACGACAGCACUUACUUGACCUGAGCCUCAGCCUGCAUGAAGAUGAACUCCCACUUUCUGGCGAAAGCUCUCUGCAGCCUGGCCAGGUUUUCCUGAAAAUGAAAGAACACUGAGCCAUGGCCCAAUCGAUGCUGUUGAUGCUGUUGAUUUUCCCCAGCCGGUCACUGAUGAACGACUCUCAAGUUCACCUCCCCAAUCAUACACCGACGUGACCUGCAUUUCUCCAUCAGACAACAGCAUCACCACAGCCGACAAACAAUGAGCCAGUAAUGCAGGAGGAAAAACAAGCUGUACUCCUGAAACAAAAUGAUAAUUACUGUUUGUUAUGUUCUGUAUCCCUUCCAUACAGAGCAAACCAAUACAAGGAAACACAAGAAUAGGUUUUAAUAUGUGUUCACUGAAAAACAUCUUUAUUUUGGCCUCAACAUGCGAUGUUGAGUCAUAAGCAAUUUAAUACACUGCAUUAACUGCACUCAGCCAGAAACAUAAACCACUGUAUUAAAUCACAUUAAAUUAUAUCUAAACCACAA